This 61-nucleotide transfer RNA is filed under the name Cirriformia cf. tentaculata HK-2018. Its description in RNAcentral is "tRNA-Met". The record is from RNAcentral. Lineage: Eukaryota; Metazoa; Annelida; Polychaeta; Terebellida; Cirratulidae.
AAUGGGAUAAGCUAAUUAAGCUAUUGGGCUCAUGACCCAAAAAUGGUCCACCCUCCUAUUA